RNAcentral lists this ribosomal RNA (491 nucleotides) under uncultured soil bacterium. RNAcentral describes it as "bacterial SSU rRNA". It matches the Rfam family "Bacterial small subunit ribosomal RNA", at positions 26 to 517 of the family's 1533-position model. The record is from RNAcentral.
AGAUUGAACGCUGGCGGAAUGCUUUACACAUGCAAGUCGAACGGCAGCACGGGACUCAGGCAACUGAGCCCUGGUGGCGAGUGGCGAACGGGUGAGUAACAUAUCGGAACGUACCCAGUCGUGGGGGGAUAACUCUCCGAAAGGAGAGCUAAUACCGCAUACGUCCUGAGGGAGAAAGCGGGGGACCUAAGGGCAACUGAGGGCCUCGCGCGAUUGGAGCGGCCGAUAUCGGAUUAGCUAGUUGGUGGGGUAAAAGCCCACCAAGGCGACGAUCUGUAGCUGGUCUGAGAGGACGACCAGGCCACACUGGAACUGAGACACGGUCCAGACUCCUACGGGAGGCGGCAGUGGGGAAUUUUGGACAAUGGGCGAAAGCCUGAUCCAGCAAUGCCGCGUGAGUGAUGAAGGCCUUAGGUUGUAAAGCUCUUUUACCCGAGAUGAUAAUGACAGUAUCGGAGAAUAAGCCCGGCUAACUCCGUGCCAGCAGCCUG